CGAUAGAUAUGCUCGUCCAGAAGCUCAAGGCAAACGGCUCCCCAGAUGCUGCCAGGCUUGAGACUUUGAAACCAGCCGCGCAUCUUGCACGCAGCGACUCACCGGUAGAUUCUCUGCGCAGGCAAAGCCGCCAGAAGCAGCACAGUUCAGCAGCGAGGGAGCUCGGAUCACAGCC
This 175-nucleotide non-coding RNA is filed under the name Symbiodinium sp. clade A. The record is from RNAcentral. Lineage: Eukaryota; Dinophyceae; Suessiales; Symbiodiniaceae.